This is an RNA transcript of Xiphias gladius (swordfish), 2480 nucleotides long. It is a transcript of the gene named growth hormone releasing hormone receptor b, with no coding region annotated. Lineage: Eukaryota; Metazoa; Chordata; Actinopteri; Istiophoriformes; Xiphiidae. The transcript is spliced from 14 exons. The record is from RefSeq and is a predicted model, not a curated record.
CCGAGGAGACGCCGGACGGCAUUCAUGUCGAGCGGCUCGGCUCGCGGAUUUCUCGCCGGCUGUGGACAUUUGACGCGGAAAUCGUCUGCGGUCAUCAGAGACCGACAUCAACCUUGGAGAUAUUCGUACUUUUCUCGUGCGUACUUUUCAAAGUGAACAAAGCGUAACGAUGUUAUUGCACAGCGCGUUCGCCUCUGGAGGCUCGUGGCCGAGAUGGGUGGCCGCGCUGCUCCGCUUGGGUCUCUUCCUGCAGCUGGCGGUCUGGGAAACGACGCAGGCCAUGCACCCAGACUGCGCCCUGGUGGUUCAGCACAUGAAAGCUCAGGAAGAAUGCAACCAGAUCCUCAAACAGGAGGAGAACAACCACUCCACCAGGACAGGUUGUCCGACAGUGUGGGACGACAUUCGGUGCUGGUACCGUGCUGAGGUGGGACAGGUGGUCAGCGUCUCGUGUGCCAACGUUUCCCAGCUGUUUGCUAAUAACCAAGGUUACAUCUACAGGAACUGCACUGAAGACGGAUGGUCCGAGCCCUACCCGCCCUACGAUGAGGCCUGUGAGUUUGCGGAGGAUGAGGAGACAAAACCAGAGACAACAUACUUCUCCAACUUCAAACAGCUGUACACUGCUGGCUACGCCACCUCCCUCAUCUCUCUUAUUUCGGCUAUUUUUGUCUUCACUGUGUUCAGGAAGUUUCGCUGCACCAGAAACUACAUCCACAUCAACCUGUUCUUCUCCUUCAUCCUGAGAGCGAGCGCUGUCUUCAUUAAAGAUGGCGUUCUUUUCUCUGAUGAGACCCUGGACCACUGCUUCAUGUCGACUACGUCCUGUAAAUCAGCUGUGGCCUUCUUCCAGUUCAGCAUCCUUGCCAACUACUUCUGGCUGCUGGUGGAGGGCAUGUACCUGCAGACGCUGCUCGCUCUCACCUUUGUCUUCCAGAAGAAAUACUUCUGGUGGUACAUACUCAUUGGCUGGGGUCUCCCAACAACAAUCAUAACGGUGUGGAUCCUCACUCGAAACUUCUACGAUAACAGGGGGUGCUGGGAUGACACAGAUGUGGCCUUCAUCUGGUGGAUCAUAAAAGCUCCAAUAACUGCAUCACUACUGGUGAACUUCAUCAUCUUCAUCAACAUGAUCCGUAUACUGGUCCAGAAGCUGAGGUCUCCCGGUGUUGGGGGCAACGAUACCAGUCACUUCAAGAGACUGGCCAAAUCCACUUUGCUUCUCAUCCCUCUGUUCGGGAUGCACUACAUGGUGUUUGCCUUCCUGCCAGAAAACACGGGAGCAGAGGCCCGACUCUUCAUAGAGCUCGGUCUGGGAUCCUUUCAGGGAUUCGUUGUGGCUCUGCUCUACUGUUUCCUGAAUGGUGAGGUGCAGGCAGAACUCAAGAAGAGGUUCUGGAAGUGGCAGACUCAGAGCUACCUGAGCUACAGUAAACGACGGCGCACGCUGUUCACUGAAAGCAGCACGGUCACUCAGAUAACUGUCCUGGACAAAUCCAGCCCCAAGGAUCAGCCGGGCUCAGAGACGUGCACCCUCACGCACACCCUCGCCCCCAACAACGUCUCCACCGUCUGAGGAACAUUUGACGGCGAAGACGUCCACGCCCUGUGUCUCAACAUGUGCUUUGUGUUUGGACGACGUCCAGAACAAAGGACUAAACCACAGAGCCUGAGGGUUGAACGUUUAAGAUGCUGAGCUGCUCAUGAAAGGAAAUAAAUGCAUGAAAAUGGAUUUUCUUCUGUUGUGGUGUCAGAUAGUGGGAGGAUGGACGACACUGAGCAGGAGAAGCAGCAGGGGAGAAUGGCCGUAGAUUUAUCGUAGCUGCGAGGUGCAUUUGUGGAGACGCUGUUGUUUUUUUGAUGAAGUUUUGUACAGAUUUGUGUUCAUAUUUGCAGAUUUUACCCUGCUUUGCCAGCCUGCAACAGGCUGCACAGGUAGGGAAUAAUGCAUGCUCGGUUCAUGCUGUCCUCUACAACCCCCCCCCGUGUGCAGAUGCUCAGACACACCAGUAGGGGGUCGUUAGUGCAGCUACAAGGUCGUGAUCCCCCACCGGUUUCCUACCCACAACUCAAAAACGACCAGUUGUGUUUGUUGGAACACACGACCGAGCCGAAGAUACUGCUGAUGGGAAUCGAACCUCGGGUACUGGCAGUGGCAGGGAAGGCUUCCCCCGCGCAACCACUUCACCCAUUUUCAAGCAUUUAUUGACUUUAAUGAGCAGUCAGUACAAAGUCAGUCUUUUUUAAAUUUUUAUAUAUAUAUAUCUAUCUCCACAGCAAAUUAAGACUAUAAACCAGGUUACCCAGUUUUAAUAUACUCUACUCUUUAGUUCUAAUCAUUGAAAUCUUCUCUCCUGUAAAACAGAAGCGUGCCGAAAAAACUUCAGAUAAAGCUUGUUCACGUUUGUUUUUCGAGUGUGGCAUGGAUUCAUUGCUGCCCCUUGUGGCCGACGGGGGAAAACACAGAUUUUCUUUUUUUU